GCCGAUGUGGUGGAACUGGUAGACACGUGCGCUUGAGGGGCGUAUGGAGCAAUCCGUGGGAGUUCGACUCUCCCCAUCGGCACCA
Molecule: transfer RNA, 85 nt
Filed under: Nitrospina sp.
Lineage: Bacteria; Pseudomonadati; Nitrospinota; Nitrospinia; Nitrospinales; Nitrospinaceae
Also listed under: 4 other names
Description: tRNA-Leu
Rfam family: tRNA
About the family: Transfer RNA (tRNA) molecules are approximately 80 nucleotides in length. Their secondary structure includes four short double-helical elements and three loops (D, anti-codon, and T loops). Further hydrogen bonds mediate the characteristic L-shaped molecular structure. tRNAs have two regions of fundamental functional importance: the anti-codon, which is responsible for specific mRNA codon recognition, and the 3' end, to which the tRNAs corresponding amino acid is attached (by aminoacyl-tRNA synthetases). tRNAs cope with the degeneracy of the genetic code in two manners: having more than one tRNA (with a specific anti-codon) for a particular amino acid; and 'wobble' base-pairing, i.e. permitting non-standard base-pairing at the 3rd anti-codon position.
Source: RNAcentral